UACGGAGGGUGCGCGCGUUGUUCGGAAUCACUGGGCGUAAAGGGCGUGUAGGCGGUCCGCUAAGUCUGAUGUGAAAGCCCGGGGCUCACCCCCGGAAGGGCAUUGGAAACUGGCGGACUCGAGUCCCGGAGAGGAAGGUGGAAUUCCUGGUGUAGCGGUGAAAUGCGUAGAUAUCAGGAGGAAUACCGGUGGCGAAGGCGGCCUUCUGGACGGUGACUGACGCUGAGACGCGAAAGCGUGGGGAGCAAACAGG
This 253-nucleotide ribosomal RNA is filed under the name uncultured bacterium. RNAcentral describes it as "partial 16S ribosomal RNA". It matches the Rfam family "Bacterial small subunit ribosomal RNA", at positions 524 to 776 of the family's 1533-position model. The record is from RNAcentral.